This 526-nucleotide long non-coding RNA is filed under the name Hordeum vulgare. Its description in RNAcentral is "long non-coding RNA (HVUL_LNC016093)". Lineage: Eukaryota; Viridiplantae; Streptophyta; Magnoliopsida; Poales; Poaceae. The record is from RNAcentral.
AAAAAUCAAUAUAAACUAAAUACGGACAUAUAUAGACAUAUUUUAGAGUAUAUAUUUACCAUUUUGCUUUGUAUAUAGUCCGUUAUUUAAAUCUUUAAAAGGCUUAUAUUUAAAAACGGAUGGAGUAGGUGUUUGCGGAUUGAAAAACAUAAAACCAUCAUAUUGGUGACAUCAUUAGUAAAAAAAAAACACCACAAUACGCACAACUUGCAAAAACUAUGGAACGCAAGAAUAGAUCAACGUGUGGUUCAAACACAGGUGGUUCUAUGCGACUCUACACAGAUUCUACGGAUGGAAAGGAUCAUCUACUUGUCGAGAUACCCUAGUCGAGAAUACGAUGAAAAUCUUAAGGAUUUCACAAGGAGAAUCAGAUCAAUUUGAGGCAUACCAAAGGACCUCCUCAAGCAAUUGAGCUGAGGAAGAGGCCUUCAAGGCACGGGAUCGAUGGAGGCGACAUCGUCCUGAGAGACCAAGGACGUGGGGAUAAUUGGUGGGAAUUGGAACCCUACCCCCCCCCCCCCCCNNN